UUAAAAACGAUGAAGAGAAAAGUAAGAUUUCAAUAUUUUUACACAGAGAGCUUCGGUAGCUGAAAAGAAGCAAAGAAUAGAAAUCUGAACAAUGGCCUCUGAGUUUCGUGCUGAACGUAUCUUUGAUAUCAGUAGGUUCCGACGAGAUUUGGUACUCGUUAUCAAAACCACAGUAUAAAGAGUCAUAUUUUUUGCUGGCUUAUGUACUUGUUGAGGCUGUAUGUGCGAGCAUGCAGUGAAGUAAGGUGGUACCACGUUGAUUCCAACCACGUCCUUAUC
This 279-nucleotide non-coding RNA is filed under the name Heyndrickxia shackletonii. Its description in RNAcentral is "Bacillus shackletonii T-box sequence". It matches the Rfam family "T-box leader". Rfam says of the family: Uncharged tRNA acts as the effector for transcription antitermination of genes in the T-box leader family. T-boxes are found upstream of many aminoacyl-tRNA synthetase genes and some amino acid biosynthetic genes usually in Gram-positive bacteria. Lineage: Bacteria; Bacillati; Bacillota; Bacilli; Caryophanales; Bacillaceae. The record is from RNAcentral.